This 1285-nucleotide ribosomal RNA is filed under the name Marinobacterium sp. BSA01. Its description in RNAcentral is "partial 16S ribosomal RNA". It matches the Rfam family "Bacterial small subunit ribosomal RNA", at positions 33 to 1314 of the family's 1533-position model. Lineage: Bacteria; Pseudomonadati; Pseudomonadota; Gammaproteobacteria; Oceanospirillales; Oceanospirillaceae. The record is from RNAcentral.
GAGCUGCGGCAGGCUUACACAUGCAGUCGAGGGGUACAGGACAAACCUGGCUUUUUUGCAGACGACCGGCAAAGGGGUGCGUCACGCGUAAAACAUCUCGCGCGUGUAGAGGAAGAUAGCCUUUAAACAAUGAGACAUUAACACCCCACACCGUUCAGAAAAGGCAUCGUUAUCUACUUACAGAUUUCUCUGUAAUAAACCACCAUGCGACCUACUAGCUAGAGGGGAAAGGAACCGCUUACCAUGGCAACCAUAGGUGGGGGGACAGAAUAGAGAUUCCCCCCUGGCUGUUACAGACACACCAAACUCACUCAUAAGGGAGCGCAGAGUAAUAAAUAAUGGUCAGUGCAAGCCACACUGAACCAUGCAUGCCGCGUGCAGAAAGACUGCCCGAUGGGUUGUACACUGCUAUUUGACGAGAAGAAACUUAUUUACACGCACCUACCGGACGGUACUGUAAGAAAAGCACCGGCUAACUCCGUGCCAGCAGCCGCGGUAAUACGGAGGGUGCAAGCGUUAUCCGGAAUCACUGGGUUUAAAGGGCCCGCUAGCGGUCUAGUUAGUCAGAUGUGAAAUCCCCUAGCUCACUAUGGAACUGGCUUCUGAUACUGGUUGACUUGAGUUAUAUAGAAGUACAUGGAAUUUCCAGUGUUACCGUGAAAUGCAUUAAUAUUACUAAGAACACCCAUUGCCAAAGGCGACUACUACGUAUAUACCGACCCUCAUGGACCAAAGCGUGGGGAGCGAACAGGAUUAGAUACCCUGGUAGUCCCGCCGUAAACGAGGUCACUAAUUGUUGGGUUAUAUUCCCUUUAUGUGGCGCAGUGAACGAUGAUAAGUUGACCCCCCGGGGAGUACGACGGCAGGGUUAAAAAUCAAAUGAAUUGUUGGGGGCCGGCCCAACUAGUGGAGCAUGUGGUGUAAUUGUAAGCAACGGGAAGAACCUUACUUACUCUUGACAUCCAGAGAACUUUCCAGUGAUGGAUUGGUGCCUUCGGGAACUCUGAGACAGGUGCUGCAUGGCUGUCGUCAGCUCGUGUUGUGAAAUGUUGGGUUAAGUCCUGUAACGAGCGCAACCCCUAUCGUUAUUUGCCAGCACUUAAUGUGGGAAAUAUAAGGAGACCGCCGGUGACAAACCGGAGGAAGGUGGGGAUGAAGUCAAGUUAUCAUGGGCCUUUAGAGCUGGGCUACAUAAAGGCUAAAAUGGCCGUUAUCGAGGAUCACCCACUAUCGAGGGUAAGCUAAUCUCAGAAAUCCACUCACAUCCGUAUUGCGUUGCACUGGG